Molecule: ribosomal RNA, 496 nt
Filed under: Termitomyces sp. DKA-2007
Lineage: Eukaryota; Fungi; Basidiomycota; Agaricomycetes; Agaricales; Lyophyllaceae
Description: eukaryotic LSU rRNA
Rfam family: Eukaryotic large subunit ribosomal RNA
Source: RNAcentral
AUUCCCCUAGUAACUGCGAGUGAAGCGGGAAAAGCUCAAAUUUAAAAUCUGGUAGUCUUUGGCUGCCCGAGUUGUAAUCUAGAGAAGCAUUAUCCGCGCUGGACCGUGUACAAGUGUCCUGGAAUGGACCAUCAUAGAGGGUGAGAAUCCCGUCUUUGACACGGACUACCAGGGCUUUGUGAUGUGCUCUCAAAGAGUCGAGUUGUUUGGGAAUGCAGCUCUAAAUGGGUGGUAAAUUCCAUCUAAAGCUAAAUAUUGGCGAGAGACCGAUAGCGAACAAGUACCGUGAGGGAAAGAUGAAAAGAACUUUGGAAAGAGAGUUAAACAGUACGUGAAAUUGCUGAAAGGGAAACGCUUGAAGUCAGUCGCGUUGGCUGGGGAUCAACCUUGCUCUUGCUUGGCUUACUUCCCAGUUGACGGGUCAGCAUCAGUUUUGACCGGUGGAUAAAGGUCAGGGGAAUGUGGCACCUUCGGGUGUGUUAUAGCCUUUGGUCAU